This 400-nucleotide unclassified non-coding RNA is filed under the name soil metagenome. Its description in RNAcentral is "partial contains 5.8S ribosomal RNA, internal transcribed spacer 2, and large subunit ribosomal RNA". The stretch from base 1 to 122 matches the Rfam family "5.8S ribosomal RNA", at positions 35 to 154 of the family's 154-position model. The record is from RNAcentral.
GAUGAAGAACGUAGCGAAAUGCGAUACUUGGUGUGAAUUGCAGAAUCCCGUGAACCAUCGAGUCUUUGAACGCAAGUUGCGCCUCAAGCCAUUAGGUUGAGGGCACGUCUGCCUGGGCGUCACAUAUCGUUGCCUGAUGCCAGUUUCCUCGUGAUGGGUGACUGUGCAGGGCGAAUGAUGGCUUCCCGUGAGCAUUGUUGCCUCAUGGUUGGUUGAAAAUUGAGUCCUUGGUAGGGAGCGCCGUGAUAGAUGGUGGUUGAGUGACGAACGAGACCCAAUCAUGUGAGACCCCUACCGAAUUUGGCCUUCAUUACCCACAUGCGUCUUUGGAACGCUCAUGACGAGACCUCAGGUCAGGCGGGGCUACCCGCUGAGUUUAAGCAUAUCAAUAAGCGGAGGA